RNAcentral lists this ribosomal RNA (447 nucleotides) under uncultured bacterium. RNAcentral describes it as "bacterial SSU rRNA". It matches the Rfam family "Bacterial small subunit ribosomal RNA", at positions 355 to 825 of the family's 1533-position model. The record is from RNAcentral.
UGGGGAAUAUUGGACAAUGGGCGAAAGCCUGAUCCAGCAAUGCCGCGUGGGUGAUGAAGGCCUUAGGGUUGUAAAGCUCUUUUACCAGGGAUGAUAAUGACAGUACCUGGAGAAUAAGCUCCGGCUAACUCCGUGCCAGCAGCCGCGGUAAUACGGAGGGAGCUAGCGUUGUUCGGAAUUACUGGGCGUAAAGCGUACGUAGGCGGUGACUCAAGUCAGAGGUGAAAGCCUGGAGCUCAACUCCAGAACUGCCUUUGAAACUAGGUCGCUAGAAUCACGGAGAGGUGAGUGGAAUUCCGAGUGUAGCGGUGAAAUGCGUAGAUAUCAAGAGGAACACCUGAGGUGAAGACGGGUUGCUGGGCUGACACUGACGCUGAGGCGCGAAAGCCAGGGGAGCAAACGGGAUUAGAUACCCAAGUAGUCCCUGAGCGGGCUGGCAAGGCGCAU